GAAAACGAGUUAGAAGAAACUUAUCCGAGAAUCGACUGAUCAUCACACAACAUUUCACUGAACGGACAGUCACGCCCGGUGGUGAUAUAAGCAUGCAAUGUGCAGCAUCAAGCGACAGACCUCCUCAGUUCACUUGGGAGAGAGAUGGAGUUACUAUCUCCAGUAAUACUGACCCAAGAUACGCUUUAGGUCAGGUAAUGACAUCAGAUAACUCCGUGGUAACCCAGCUUAAUAUCACGCGAGUUAGAGUUGAAGAUGGCGG
Molecule: long non-coding RNA, 262 nt
Organism: Papilio xuthus (Asian swallowtail)
Lineage: Eukaryota; Metazoa; Arthropoda; Insecta; Lepidoptera; Papilionidae
Exons: 3
Source: RefSeq, a predicted model, not a curated record